CCUACGGGAGGCAGCAGUGGGGAAUAUUGGGCAAUGGAGGAAACUCUGACCCAGCAAUGCCGCGUGAAUUCAUCCUUUCUUCGGAUUUUCCCUUUCUUUAUUCCUUUAAUACUAAAAUGACGGUACCUGAAGAAUAAGCUCCGGCUAACUACGUGCCAGCAGCCGCGGUAAUACGUAGGGAGCAAGCGUUGUUCGGAAUGACUGGGCGUAAAGGGUGCAUAGGCGGUUAUACAAGUUAGAAGUCAAAUACCCAGGGCUUAACUCGGGUGCUGCUUCUAAAACUGUAAGACUUGAGUGCAGUAGAGGUUAGUGUAAUUCGUAGUGUAGCGGUGGAAUGCGUAGAUAUUAGGAGGAACACGAGAGGCGAAGGCGGCUAACUGGAUUGCAACUGACGCUGAGGCACGAAAGUGUGGGGAGCAAACAGGAUUAGAGAAAAGGGGAGUC
This 444-nucleotide ribosomal RNA is filed under the name uncultured bacterium. RNAcentral describes it as "partial 16S ribosomal RNA". It matches the Rfam family "Bacterial small subunit ribosomal RNA", at positions 338 to 795 of the family's 1533-position model. The record is from RNAcentral.